RNAcentral lists this ribosomal RNA (791 nucleotides) under uncultured bacterium. RNAcentral describes it as "bacterial SSU rRNA". It matches the Rfam family "Bacterial small subunit ribosomal RNA", at positions 8 to 796 of the family's 1533-position model. The record is from RNAcentral.
AGAGUUUGAUCCUGGCUCAGAUUGAACGCUGGCGGCAUGCCUUACACAUGCAAGUCGAACGGCAGCGCGGGGCAACCUGGCGGCGAGUGGCGAACGGGUGAGUAAUAUAUCGGAACGUGCCCUGGAGUGGGGGAUAACGCAGCGAAAGUUGCGCUAAUACCGCAUACGAUCUAAGGAUGAAAGCAGGGGACCGCAAGGCCUUGUGCUCCUGGAGCGGCCGAUAUCUGAUUAGCUAGUUGGUGGGGUAAAGGCCUACCAAGGCAUCGAUCAGUAGCUGGUCUGAGAGGACGACCAGCCACACUGGAACUGAGACACGGUCCAGACUCCUACGGGAGGCAGCAGUGGGGAAUUUUGGACAAUGGGCGCAAGCCUGAUCCAGCAAUGCCGCGUGAGUGAAGAAGGCCUUCGGGUUGUAAAGCUCUUUUGUCAGGGAAGAAACGGUGCGGGCUAAUAUCCUGUACUAAUGACGGUACCUGAAGAAUAAGCACCGGCUAACUACGUGCCAGCAGCCGCGGUAAUACGUAGGGUGCAAGCGUUAAUCGGAAUUACUGGGCGUAAAGCGUGCGCAGGCGGUUUUGUAAGUCUGUCGUGAAAUCCCCGGGCUCAACCUGGGAAUUGCGAUGGAGACUGCAAGGCUAGAAUCUGGCAGAGGGGGGUAGAAUUCCACGUGUAGCAGUGAAAUGCGUAGAGAUGUGGAGGAACACCGAUGGCGAAGGCAGCCCCCUGGGUCAAGAUUGACGCUCAUGCACGAAAGCGUGGGGAGCAAACAGGAUUAGAUACCCUGGUAGUCC